UUGAUAUAUUAUAUUUUUAUUUAGUAUUACUGCUAGUAUCAAUAACAUGUUGUUUCAUGUACAAAGUUCACAACCAAUGAAUGAGUGUCACAACCAUGUACUAUAAUGAUAUGUGGUCAAAUAAUCACAUUCUGGAAACUUGUGGGCAGAUAUGUGGUAAAAUAAUCAUAUUGUAUUCAACUGAAUUUGGUGAUUUAAUUAUCAAUUAUGUGGAACUGAAAUGUGGAUAUGUAAUCAUAUUGCAAAACUAAUGCAGAUUUUAUAUGACUAUCAAAUAUCUGAGCUGUAGUGUUGCAGAGUUAACAUUUAUUUUUAAUCUGAAAAAAAUCUGAAAUAAUUUUUGCAAGCAUGAAGUGAUGUUUACAUAUAAAGCUGGUCAGUUGUAUAUCAUCCCACCUUCUAGGGUUAUAUAUAACCCAAAAGAGAACCAAGGACAUACUUGUAAAUAAGAAUGUUCUAAUCCAAACUGUUAUAUCAUUCUUGCAUAAAACAGAAUAUGACUUCCUUCCUUGCCUUUAAGUUAUUGCUAUAUCUUAUGUGAAUUUCAACUUUAUUAUUCAUUUAUAAUCCUUUGAAUUUAAAGGAUAUAUAUGUUAGGAGAAAAAUAAUUAUUUGACUGAAAGACAAACAAUGAAGAAAUAGCUAAUAGCCAGAUUAGUUUUACUGGUGAAUAAUACAAAAACCUACCUAAUAACAGGUAAUUUCUAAGAAGAGGAAAUUUUUUAAAGAAAAUAUUGGUGUACUUAUAUUUUUUUUUUUUAACAUUUCUCAGUUAAUGCAGUAUAUAAAGUAUUAAGUAACUUCAUGCUAAUCAGAUGGAUGUUCAGUUUAUCUGAUUAUUUAUUUUGAAGGCUGAAGUUUUAAUCUUAUCUGUGUCAUUUUGUAGUCACUUUUGUCAGAUUUUUUGCUUAUGUCCAAGUGCAUUCAAAUUUCAACCUUAAAUUUCUUUUUUAAAUUUACAACAAAAAAAAAGUAAUUUAAAACACUAAUUAACAUGAACU
RNAcentral lists this long non-coding RNA (1001 nucleotides) under Mytilus galloprovincialis (Mediterranean mussel). The record is from RNAcentral. Lineage: Eukaryota; Metazoa; Mollusca; Bivalvia; Mytilida; Mytilidae.